RNAcentral lists this ribosomal RNA (492 nucleotides) under uncultured bacterium. RNAcentral describes it as "bacterial SSU rRNA". It matches the Rfam family "Bacterial small subunit ribosomal RNA", at positions 28 to 521 of the family's 1533-position model. The record is from RNAcentral.
GAUGAACGCUAGCGGCAGGCUUAACACAUGCAAGUCGAGGGGUAUUGGUUUUCGGACCAAGAGACCGGCGCACGGGUGCGUAACGCGUAUGCAAUCUACCUUUUGCAGAGGGAUAGCCCAGAGAAAUUUGGAUUAAUACCUCAUAGUAUAGUACUUUGGCAUCAAGGAACUAUUAAAGUCACAACGGCAAAAGAUGAGCAUGCGUCCAUUAGCUAGUUGGUAAGGUAACGGCUUACCAAGGCUACGAUGGGUAGGGGUCCUGAGAGGGAGAUCCCCCACACUGGUACUGAGACACGGACCAGACUCCUACGGGAGGCAGCAGUGAGGAAUAUUGGACAAUGGGCGCAAGCCUGAUCCAGCCAUGCCGCGUGCAGGAAGAAGGUCCUAUGGAUUGUAAACUGCUUUUUAUACAGGAAGAAACACCUCUACGUGUAGAGACUUGACGGUACUGUAUGAAUAAGGACCGGCUAACUCCGUGCCAGCAGCCGCGGU